CCUGAAUGUUCAUUUUGUACUUAACUCGUCAAAUCAUUUAUCCCAAGACUUACUUCUAUGCUUUGAAAAGGAACAAUUUCAAAAUGUCAAUAAACAAUGAUCUCAAUUGCUCACCAAGACUAAAAAAAUGCAUGGUUCUGAGUGAGAAGGAUGUACUUACUGAAGAGAGAAGACCCACCCUGCAUGUGAGUAGCACCAACCAAUAGGCCUGUGGCUGGAGAGAAUAAAAAGGGAAAGCAGAGGAAGGAUGCAGCCUCCUGUCUCUCACAGUAUGAACUGUUUCACCUUUCCCCAUCUGCCAUACUGCCCUGCCUUGAAGACAGUUGACUAUGGACUUGAACUUCUGCAAAUUGUGAG
This is a long non-coding RNA of Heterocephalus glaber (naked mole-rat), 357 nucleotides long. The record is from Ensembl. Lineage: Eukaryota; Metazoa; Chordata; Mammalia; Rodentia; Bathyergidae.